This is a non-coding RNA of Megalopta genalis, 1268 nucleotides long. Lineage: Eukaryota; Metazoa; Arthropoda; Insecta; Hymenoptera; Halictidae. The record is from RefSeq and is a predicted model, not a curated record.
AGCUCGCGAGCCAGCUCCGAAACGCAGUCGUACCCGCUCCGGGGGUGGCAAGCUGGGGAGCGGGGUGGCGAGCUACGGAACGAGGGAGAACGAUAGAAAGAGCUCCGGCAAGAUAGAGCGAAGAAGAGCUGGACCGAGUAGAGCGGCGAUUCCGCUCCGACGGAGCACACACGGCCGGAAGACGCGCGGAGCGGGUAACGCGCGCGCGUUAACAUACUCACCUGGUCGGGCCGACCCAAGGUCAGGCUGUCCGGUGAAUGGCGGAUGACGAGCACACUGGAUGGUCACGUCGUCGCCAUUUAACACCUAUCUACUGCACACCGAGCCGGAUCAUCCGGGCACAACAACGGGGGACGACACUCUCCCAUAGCCGUUCACCGUGGCUGAAGAACGGGUACACCACCGGCCGAGAACAGGGCCAGGAACGCACUGUGUCGACGUCUAGAGCGGACACGACGGCGGGAGCGUGGCACCGCGGCGACGAUUCUCCGGGCCUCUGUCAGCUUUGAAUCACUAUGAACCUAACGAAACACCGACCGGAGCGGUGACUAGGGUCGACCUGGCCUCCUCGAGCCUCACCGAAGAACUGGCGGGCUCGUGCGCUCGCACGCACCAGUUACCCCCCUUCUAGACCACCGAAAAAUCAUUCUUGUGGCAAUUGAAACGACUGUACCUCGAAGAUUGCGAACGACGCGUUUUCAUUUCUCGGUUGAACGAUGAAUCCUACGAAACUGGCACAGAUGAAACGUUUCUUCGACGGACAGAAAGCAGCCGAUGUAAAUCGAUCGAGAGUACGAGAAAUUAGCAAGCGCUGGACAGACGUAACAGACAACAUUUCUAGCAGCGCAACGAAAUACAUGUCCGGGCACGUUGGAGCACUUUUCGGCGUAAGUGGGAACCGUGGACAGUGGACAGACACGCGGACAGCGGCGUGUGAAAAGUGGAAAUAGUGGACUGGUAUUUUAGCCGGCCGUAUUCGAAAGCGCGCGUGCCUGAUGAAUUUUUUAAUCCUAUUUUCUCGAAAAGAAAAGCAGGCGCGAAAAAUAUUAUGCGUCGUUUUCCAUUUGUUUGUGGCACGUGGAGGGUCGCGAACUGUCCUCGACCCCGCUAAUUAUUACAGAAACGGAAAAUAAGAAAUCCUUCGCCGGAUGUGCGUUUCGUUCGAAGAACGACGUCGAGGCUUCCCGCGCGUGAUAACGAUAAACCCACCGAGGUCUAAAAGCGAUUAAUAAAAAUUGCCUCGUAAAAAUUACAUGACAGAAUUUAUU